UGCCCCUUCUUCAUGCUCUUUGACCGCUGGGCCGGGGAAACAACCCCCACCCCCCCCCCCCCUACCCUCGAGCUGCGUUCCAGCAGCGACGAGCUCCGGGUCCCCGAUGGCUUGUGUCCUUAUGACGGCGGAGGCAAAAUGAAAUAUCGAUCAGCCCUGCGGGGAGCACAUACGGGAGGUGGUGCUCAAACUGUUGGUUUAAUCAACUGUUCAACAACAGGUCACAUGUCGGGGUUAGCGACAGAGCGAUGGAAGCCCUGAGUAUCCGUCCUCCCCCGUGCUCCACAUUAGCUGCAUGCAGGCUACUUAUCAAUAUCACCAAUAAUAUUCGUUGUGCCAAAAUAAUAAUCAGCCGUGGAUCACCUGAUUCCACGGGAAUCACAUAAACCAGACGAAAAGUACUAAAGCGGCAAUAGACAAUAUAUUUGCUGUGACAUAUGAUUAUGAUGCGAAUGCGGUUUGCACAAAGUAAUGGCGGUGGAAUAACGACGCCAUCUGCGUUUCCCUGUGAGCCUCAUUUCUGUGUUCAGGAGAACGUGAAGGCUCGACUGACGGCUCAAACAAUGAGCUUCAUCCAUUUGUCACACCGACGGUCUGGGUGCGUUUCCAUUUCUUCCCCCAGUAACAGAGAUGAGAUGGUGGAACAGAACCUCAGCGUUGAAAAGCUGAGCUCUGUUCACCUUGAGAAAGCAUCCAAGGGCCCGGAAACCCAAGUGUGGCCCUCUGACAAGCAGCUGGCGUGAAUAACGCGGCCCAUGACGGACUGUGAAGUACAGUAACGGUGUUCUUGCUCAUUCUUAGGAUAUUGGGUUUUUGGUCACCUG
Gasterosteus aculeatus aculeatus (three-spined stickleback) is the source of this 824-nucleotide long non-coding RNA. The record is from Ensembl. NCBI's taxonomy places the organism in Eukaryota, Metazoa, Chordata, Actinopteri, Perciformes, Gasterosteidae.